UACGUAGGGUGCAAGCGUUAAUCGGAAUUACUGGGCGUAAAGCGUGCGCAGGCGGUGAUGUAAGACAGAUGUGAAAUCCCGGGCUCACUGGGACUGCAUUUGUGACUGCAUCGCUGGGAGUGCGGGCAGAGGGAUGGGAAAUUUCCGCGUGUAGCAGUGAAAUGCGUAGAUAUGCGGGAGGGAAACACCCGAUGGGCGAAAGGGCAAAUCCCUGGGCCCUGCACUGGGCGCUCAUGCACGAAAGCCGUGGGGAGCAAAACAGGGGAAU
RNAcentral lists this ribosomal RNA (268 nucleotides) under uncultured bacterium. RNAcentral describes it as "partial 16S ribosomal RNA". It matches the Rfam family "Bacterial small subunit ribosomal RNA", at positions 524 to 779 of the family's 1533-position model. The record is from RNAcentral.